RNAcentral lists this ribosomal RNA (497 nucleotides) under uncultured bacterium. RNAcentral describes it as "partial 16S ribosomal RNA". It matches the Rfam family "Bacterial small subunit ribosomal RNA", at positions 28 to 507 of the family's 1533-position model. The record is from RNAcentral.
GACGAACGCUGGCGGCGUGCCUAAUACAUGCAAGUAGAACGCUGAAGAGAGGAGCUUACUCUUCUUGGAUGAGUUGCGAACGGGUGAGUAACGCGUAGUUAACCUGCCUUGUAGCGGGGGAUAACUGUUGGAAACGAUAGCUAAUACCGCAUAACAAUGGAUGACACAUGUCAUUUAUUUGAAAGGGGCAAUUGCUCCACUACAAGAUGGACCUGCGUUGUAUUAGCUAGUAGGUUAGGUAAUGGCUCACCUAGGCGACGAUACAUAGCCGACCUGAGAGGGUGAUCGGCCACACUGGGACUGAGACACGGACCAGACUCCUACGGGAGGCAGCAGUAGGGAAUCUUCGGCAAUGGGGGCAAACCUUACAGAGCAACGCCGCGUGAGAGAAGAAGGUUUUCGGAUCGUAAAGCUCUGUUGUAAGUCAAGAACGGGUGUGAGAGUGGAAAGUUCACACUGUGACGGUAGCUUAACAGAAAGGGACGGCUAACUACGUG